This 85-nucleotide transfer RNA is filed under the name Butyrivibrio fibrisolvens. Its description in RNAcentral is "tRNA-Tyr". It matches the Rfam family "tRNA". From Rfam's summary of the family: Transfer RNA (tRNA) molecules are approximately 80 nucleotides in length. Their secondary structure includes four short double-helical elements and three loops (D, anti-codon, and T loops). Further hydrogen bonds mediate the characteristic L-shaped molecular structure. tRNAs have two regions of fundamental functional importance: the anti-codon, which is responsible for specific mRNA codon recognition, and the 3' end, to which the tRNAs corresponding amino acid is attached (by aminoacyl-tRNA synthetases). tRNAs cope with the degeneracy of the genetic code in two manners: having more than one tRNA (with a specific anti-codon) for a particular amino acid; and 'wobble' base-pairing, i.e. permitting non-standard base-pairing at the 3rd anti-codon position. Lineage: Bacteria; Bacillati; Bacillota; Clostridia; Lachnospirales; Lachnospiraceae. The record is from RNAcentral.
GUAGGUAUGCCUAGUGGCGAAGGCAGGGGGCUGUAAAACCCUGACUCUGACUCAUGGUGUUGCAGGUUCGAGUCCUGCUACCGUA